Molecule: ribosomal RNA, 561 nt
Filed under: uncultured Lactobacillus sp.
Lineage: Bacteria; Bacillati; Bacillota; Bacilli; Lactobacillales; Lactobacillaceae
Description: bacterial SSU rRNA
Rfam family: Bacterial small subunit ribosomal RNA
Source: RNAcentral
GGUUUAAUUCGAAGCAACGCGAAGNACCUUUACCAGGUCUUGACAUCCUUUGACCACUGUAGAGAUACAGCUUUCCCUUCGGGGACAAAGUGACAGGUGGUGCAUGGUUGUCGUCAGCUCGUGUCGUGAGAUGUUGGGUUAAGUCCCGCAACGAGCGCAACCCUUAUGACUAGUUGCCAGCAUUUAGUUGGGCACUCUAGUAAGACUGCCGGUGACAAACCGGAGGAAGGUGGGGAUGACGUCAAAUCAGCAUGCCCCUUAUGACCUGGGCUACACACGUGCUACAAUGGUCGGUACAACGAGUUGCGAACCCGCGAGGGUAAGCUAAUCUCUUAAAGCCGAUCUCAGUUCGGAUUGUAGGCUGCAACUCGCCUACAUGAAGCCGGAAUCGCUAGUAAUCGCGGAUCAGCACGCCGCGGUGAAUACGUUCCCGGGCCUUGUACACACCGCCCGUCACACCAUGAGAGUUUGUAACACCCGAAGUCGGUGGGGUAACCCUUUUAGGGAACUAGCCGCCUAAGGUGGGACAGAUGAUUGGGGUGAAGUCGUAACAAGGUAACC